UAUACAUGCAAGUCGAACGAACUCUGGUAUUGAUUGGUGCUUGCAUCAUGAUUUACAUUUGAGUGAGUGGCGAACUGGUGAGUAACACGUGGGAAACCUGCCCAGAAGCGGGGGAUAACACCUGGAAACAGAUGCUAAUACCGCAUAACAACUUGGACCGCAUGGUCCGAGUUUGAAAGAUGGCUUCGGCUAUCACUUUUGGAUGGUCCCGCGGCGUAUUAGCUAGAUGGUGGGGUAACGGCUCACCAUGGCAAUGAUACGUAGCCGACCUGAGAGGGUAAUCGGCCACAUUGGGACUGAGACACGGCCCAAACUCCUACGGGAGGCAGCAGUAGGGAAUCUUCCACAAUGGACGAAAGUCUGAUGGAGCAACGCCGCGUGAGUGAAGAAGGGUUUCGGCUCGUAAAACUCUGUUGUUAAAGAAGAACAUAUCUGAGAGUAACUGUUCAGGUAUUGACGGUAUUUAACCAGAAAGCCACGGCUAACUACGUGCCAGCAGCCGCGGUAAUACGUAGGUGGCAAGCGUUGUCCGGAUUUAUUGGGCGUAAAGCGAGCGCAGGCGGUUUUUUAAGUCUGAUGUGAAAGCCUUCGGCUCAACCGAAGAAGUGCAUCGGAAACUGGGAAACUUGAGUGCAGAAGAGGACAGUGGAACUCCAUGUGUAGCGGUGAAAUGCGUAGAUAUAUGGAAGAACACCAGUGGCGAAGGCGGCUGUCUGGUCUGUAACUGACGCUGAGGCUCGAAAGUAUGGGUAGCAAACAGGAUUAGAUACCCUGGUAGUCCAUACCGUAAACGAUGAAUGCUAAGUGUUGGAGGGUUUCCGCCCUUCAGUGCUGCAGCUAACGCAUUAAGCAUUCCGCCUGGGGAGUACGGCCGCAAGGCUGAAACUCAAAGGAAUUGACGGGGGCCCGCACAAGCGGUGGAGCAUGUGGUUUAAUUCGAAGCUACGCGAAGAACCUUUACCAGGUCUUGACAUACUAUGCAAAUCUAGAGAUAGACGUUCCCUUCGGGGACAUGNUAACAGUGUGCAUGNNGUCGUCAGCUC
RNAcentral lists this ribosomal RNA (1043 nucleotides) under Lactiplantibacillus plantarum. RNAcentral's name for it is "bacterial SSU rRNA". It matches the Rfam family "Bacterial small subunit ribosomal RNA", at positions 50 to 1061 of the family's 1533-position model. The record is from RNAcentral. Lineage: Bacteria; Bacillati; Bacillota; Bacilli; Lactobacillales; Lactobacillaceae.